RNAcentral lists this long non-coding RNA (1666 nucleotides) under Nicotiana benthamiana. RNAcentral describes it as "long non-coding RNA (NBEN_LNC003033)". Lineage: Eukaryota; Viridiplantae; Streptophyta; Magnoliopsida; Solanales; Solanaceae. The record is from RNAcentral.
CCCCCCCAUUCAUCGUCUUCAUGCUUGGAGACCCAAACCAUAGCGACACUGCCACUCCCACGUCCUCCAGUGGCGGCGCCACCAUAAAACACUGCCAAAAUAACACCCCAUAACUCCUUCACUCCCUUCAUAUCGAAUCUCUACUCCGUUUGUUUCAAAUCCCACUGGAUCUCCUCGAAAAUUAGAUCAAAAGAACGAAACCUAAAUCCCUAAAUCCAAAUCAACAGGCCCGUUUGAAUAUUUGAGACCGUAAUAGACGUUAUUCGUGUGUUUAUGCAUGGAAGCACACGAUUAGGGUCUAUUCCGAUCAAGAAAUUAACAAAUCGUUCAAGGCUUGUCAAGUCUACUUUUGGCCAGUUGUAAGUAUCAUCUUUUACUUUGUUAUUUUUCGUUCUUUUAUUCUACUCCCCGACCUCAUCUCCUUCUGCUUCAUCUUUUCUUUUGUACUGUAGGCAGUGUUAUGUUAUGUUUUGCAUGAUUAUAUAAAAGACAUGUUAGUUACAAUUCAUGUUUAGUUUGCAAACCUGACUUAGGAUUGUUAUUUGGGUUAGUUUGACCCAUAUCCGAUUUCAAGGGUAUAUAACCUAAAUUUUAAGGGCAAUUUGGGUAGCCUAGAUUAGGGAAUCUGGGGUAACAACCUUAGGAAACUUCCAAGAAGGGGGGUUUGAGACUAUUUCGAAUAUCUGAAAAUUGGCUAAGGUUUACUAAGCUAAAAUCAGAAUUUAAAAGGGGUCUAAGUGCAAAUCUGUUUCUCAUUAAGUUGGCCUAGUGCCUUUCCUACAAAAGUCCUCUAACUUGGAAUUCAAGGAAGAGAUUUAUCUUAGAGAAAAAACCUUAAAAAAUUAGACCUUAGAGUUCAAGAGAUAAAAAAUGAAAAAUCCAGAAUAAUGCAAAUGGCUAAAAAUUUGAAUAAAACACUGUCCUAUUGAAUUUCAUGCUUUGGAUCUUAAGGUUUUAUUUUCCUGAAUCAAUUUCUGCUGUGUUUUAGGGUCGAAAUGAAUUGAGGUUGAGCCUUUUAAAUCUGGUUUAGAUUUUGAUGGUGUUCAAGUCUGUUUUGAUUGCUGGUUUCCUGAUCUGAGUCUCCCACUAUUGUUUCUUUAUGAAUUCCCUCUCACUUUUGGUUUGUGUAUUGCUGUAAUCAGGUACACCUUGGAUCUUUUGUCAUGUGAGGUGCAAGUUUUAAUCUCUAUAGUUCGAGUUGAAGAAAAUAAUCAAUCUUAACUUUUUAUUUGUUUGUCAAAGUCAUAUUAGUCUGUUUGGUUUAUCUUAGUAUAGCUUUGUGCACUUCAUUUUCUUUUAAGGGUUGAAUUGAAGAAGUGAAAUGGACAGCAGGAGGUUUAAGGCAAAAUGCUAACCUAUAUGUGUUUCAGAUAUAUUUCUUUCUAAUUUUAUGCUUUUGUAGAUUUAGUUCUUGUCAUGGUAAAUUAUCAUGGGGCUUUUAAGAUUGUUGCUAUAAAAGGUUUUAUUUGGUCGCUUAUGGAUUCUGGACUUUUAUUCAAUUUUGCUAAAGAUUAAUAUUGCUUCAGCUAUGUUUUCCAUUCGAAUUUGUAGGUGUCAAGCUUGGUUUGUCGUCUGUGUUGAUUUAACCAAGUUGAGCUUUGUUGGCAUAUCUAAUUCUUGUCUAGUUGGUUAAAAAUAGAAGUAGAAGUUUAAUUAGGCAAUUUGU